AGCCUGAUCCAGCCAUGCCGCGUGAUUGAUGAAGGCCCAUAGGGUUGUAAAGAUCUUUCAACAGUGAAUGAAAUGACGGUAACUGUAGAAGAAGCUCCGGCUAGCUCCGUGCCAGCAGCCCCGGUAAUACGAGGGGAGCUGGCGUUGUUCGAAUAUUACUGGGUAAAGUUAAUGUAAGUUGAUGAUUAAGUCACAGGUGAAAUCCCGGGGUUCAACCCCGGAACUGCCUUUUAUACUGGUAGUCUAGACGUCAAGAGAGGUGGGUGGAAUUCCGAGUGUGGAGGUGAAAUUCAUAUAUAUGCGGAGGAACACCAGUGGCGAAGGCGGCUCAGUGGCUCGAUACUGACGCUGAGGUGCGAAAGUGUGGGUAGCAAACAGGAUUAGAUACCCUGGUAGUCCACACCGUAAACUAUGAAGGCUAUUCGUCAGGGGACUUAUUUUUUGGUGACGCAGCUAACUCAUUAAUCAUUCCCCCGGGGGAGUACGGUCGAAAAAUAAAAAC
Molecule: ribosomal RNA, 502 nt
Filed under: uncultured Paracoccaceae bacterium
Lineage: Bacteria; Pseudomonadati; Pseudomonadota; Alphaproteobacteria; Rhodobacterales; Paracoccaceae
Description: bacterial SSU rRNA
Rfam family: Bacterial small subunit ribosomal RNA
Source: RNAcentral